AGAACAAAAAUCGAAGCGUCGCUCUUUACGAAAUUAUUAUAUUUUGUUUGGGUGAUUGCGUCGGAAUUGAGCCUUCUUUCAUAUGUUAAUUCAUGUCAAAGUGGCUUAAAAUUCAUCAAUCUGGUACGAUUUAAAGCGUAUUUAAGAUCAACCUUGAUUAAGAACGCGCGAUGACGUACCAUCUCAUGUAGUACGUUCGACCUGCUUGUCAGGCUCAUUCGUAUACGACAUUCAAC
RNAcentral lists this unclassified non-coding RNA (236 nucleotides) under Funneliformis caledonium. Its description in RNAcentral is "partial internal transcribed spacer 2". Lineage: Eukaryota; Fungi; Glomeromycota; Glomeromycetes; Glomerales; Glomeraceae. The record is from RNAcentral.